This 465-nucleotide ribosomal RNA is filed under the name Vreelandella stevensii. RNAcentral describes it as "partial 16S ribosomal RNA". It matches the Rfam family "Bacterial small subunit ribosomal RNA", at positions 338 to 795 of the family's 1533-position model. The record is from RNAcentral. Lineage: Bacteria; Pseudomonadati; Pseudomonadota; Gammaproteobacteria; Oceanospirillales; Halomonadaceae.
CCUACGGGGGGCUGCAGUGGGGAAUAUUGGACAAUGGGGGGAACCCUGAUCCAGCCAUGCCGCGUGUGUGAAGAAGGCCCUCGGGUUGUAAAGCACUUUCAGUGAGGAAGAACGCCUGGUGGUUAAUACCCAUCAGGAAAGACAUCACUCACAGAAGAAGCACCGGCUAACUCCGUGCCAGCAGCCGCGGUAAUACGGAGGGUGCGAGCGUUAAUCGGAAUUACUGGGCGUAAAGCGCGCGUAGGUGGCUUGAUAAGCCGGUUGUGAAAGCCCCGGGCUCAACCUGGGAACGGCAUCCGGAACUGUCAAGCUAGAGUGCAGGAGAGGAAGGUAGAAUUCCCGGUGUAGCGGUGAAAUGCGUAGAGAUCGGGAGGAAUACCAGUGGCGAAGGCGGCCUUCUGGACUGACACUGACACUGAGGUGCGAAAGCGUGGGUAGCAAACAGGAUUAGAUACCCGUGUAGUC